UGAGCCCAUUUGAGUCUUUGAGCCCCCCCCCCUGUGAUUUUUAGUGACUUCGGAGUGUGUCAUUUCAAUAAACUCGAACCUCUGUUCAUCAGUGGAUUACACGAAAGGAAGAUGCAGUUAAUUCCCUUUGGUUUUCUUUACCACGACGAGCGAAACCGAGUGUAAGGUCGAACCACACUUUACGAAGCAAGCCGGAAGGAGUUUCAGUAUCCAAACUUUUCACGAAUUUUUUUUUAAAUCAUUCUCGGGGAUAGCAGCAUGAUGUGUUGUCUGGUCAAGGCCAUCGCGCUUAAGUUUGUUUUUUUAUCAUGGACGGAAAAACAUUGUUUGCAGUGUGAAAUUCCCGGUCUUGGAUAAUGUUUAUGCUGCAUUCAAAUGGCGGUCCCAUGAUGUGCGUGUAUGGCAGCACGCAACCCAACAAAACUCGAUUUUGAUUAAAGAUCUCCCUCAGCAUUUCUGACUUCGGCAUAAAAGAACCCCGGUCUCUCAUUCAGUUGAAAAGCAGGAAGCUCUUCGAACUUGGGUUCAAAACCUCGGAAACCAAACCAUUCUGGAAGUGAAACGAUUGCCUUGUUUAGGGUACAAAUGUGACAGAGGUAUUACGCCCAGUAGAUUUGGAGAGGUUCCCAUCCACGAUGUCCUGUACUGCUUUUGCAUCAAGGGACGCGAAGCGGUCACUGGACGCUUGAACUUUUGGCUCUACGGAAACGCUGUCUGUAUUUCCUAGUUCAGGGGCCAUCUCAGAACGGUUUUCAGCUUCAACAGCUGUUGU
Haliotis rufescens (red abalone) is the source of this 772-nucleotide long non-coding RNA. RefSeq lists it as uncharacterized. Lineage: Eukaryota; Metazoa; Mollusca; Gastropoda; Lepetellida; Haliotidae. The transcript is spliced from 2 exons. The record is from RefSeq and is a predicted model, not a curated record.